GUAGAACUGCGGAUCCGUUCCGUAAUUACUGAUGCUGCUUUUCAGCUUGUAAUGCAAUCAAUAACGGAACGGACUCGCAGUAGAAAUAUUCAGUAUUGUGGAGGUUAAGAUAAACAAGUUUCAUAGAUAAUUAUGGAUCAAACAUAGCGUGAUAUGGAGAUUGUGAUUUUAACAAAAGUUGUAAAAUAUGUAAUAGAAUCUUCUGAAAGUUCUUCAGAUAGCGAAGAAGAUGAUAUAUUUUUAAGGACUCUUAAUAGAAAUUUGACUCCACGUUUUCGUUGCAAGGACUAUGUUGAAAGUGUUAUACCAUUGUAUACAGACGAGGAAUUUCAAAUGCACUUUCGGUACAGAAAACAAUAUACAAUUUUUACCUAAUGUACAUCAAACGCAUGUAAAAGAAAUAUGAUAAAAUGUGCCAUUGAUUAUUAAAAAAAAAAAGUAAUAUCAAGAAAAUGGAAUUUAUUGUUUCAGACUUAAACGAAGUACUUUUCAAUUCUUAUUUAAAUUAUUAAAUCCUAAAUUAAAUAAACAAAAUAAAAUAAAAAUAAAAUAAUUAUAAAAGUAAAAUAAUUAUUGAUUAUUACAAACUUAUACCUGUAUGUGCUUUUUCAGCAUCUUCACGACUAACUGUUACAUUAUAUAUUUUAUUACUUUCUGAACAUAUGAGGCUUAACGUCUCAUCACAGAGCGCCGCCAUUUUUUCACUGCUGGUGUCUUACCUCGCCAGCCGCAGUAACGAAAGCAGGAAAUUACGUCAAAAUAUAUGACGUCACGUGUUAACGAAAGUACAUUGAAAGCUUACUGCGACGUAUUUCGGAACGACUUUGCAGUACUGCAAGUACUGACAGUGAGUUUCGGAACGCAGCCACAAUCACUCCCCUCAUCUCUUGGUCUUCACCCCCGCAACAAUUCGCCCCGUCCAUUAUGCUUACGUCCACAGGUGUAAUAAAUUGAAGUGAGACAAAUAUGUUUUCUCACUUAAACUUUUUGCACUAGUUCAGCAGUGCAGCUACAAAGAACAAGCCUUGUGAUUCAGUGAGAAACAUUUCAUUAGACGAAAUAUUUUCUUAAACUUGAAAAGAAGAAUGUCGGAUGAUUUAUUAGCCAAGGAAAAAGAAUUUCAUAAAUUGAAUCAAGAACUUCAACUAAAGAAGUAUGAUGUAAUGAAGAAAAUGAGCUUCUUUACACAUGCUAAUACUACUAAUGAAUCGUUCAACAAUAUAAAGCAAUAUAUAAAUCCUACGAUGAAAGAUGUAAGAACAACAUAUCUAAGAGAUAAAACAUCAAGCACAGACAAACAGUUAAGAAAAUCAUCACCUGAGGUUUCUGAAGUUCUGUCUAUAGAAAAUAUUGCUGACACUGAGAUUUCAUUAAAAAAGUAUAAUAAUUUAGGAAAUGAAGCUAUUAUUAAAUUGCUUAAAGGCAAGAUAGAUAUGUUAUAUAAGGAACUACAAACAAUACAACAUGAAUAUAACAAUGAGUGUGGAUAUUCUAAAGAAUUAGAGGUGAAAAAUAAAAAACUUAAUGAGACUCAAGUUAAACUACACAGCCAGAUAGGAUCAUUAAGUGAUACAAUUACAAAGUUGCAAGAUAUAAAUCAUGAUAUUCUCUCAAAGUAUCAAGGUUUGAGUAACGAGAAUAUUGUCUUGAAGAAGGAUUUACAUAAUCUUAAUAAAAAAAUAAAGAUAUCACAUAAACAAUCAUUUAAUUGUGAUAUACGACUAAAUAGAUCUCUCGAAAAUAAUGAAAAGCUCAGGAGCAUGUUAAAAUCUAGUCAGGUAGAGGAAAAGGGAUUAAGGAAUCAAAUUAAAAAAUUACAAGAAGAUAAAAAUUUAGCCAUACAAAAUUUAGAAAAACAGCAAAUGGAAUUAGUGCAAGCAUUUAGAAAACAAAUACUGCUCAUAGAUAAUUUAAAACAACAAAAUAUAUAUUUAAUAGCAAGUGGGAAAAUACAUUUAACAGGAGCAGACUUUACGAAAUUACUGGAGUGGAAACCUUAGUAACUCUGAGAUGUAUAUAAAACAUUUAUUGAAUAACUGUUACUAUUCAUACAUUGUGAAAGAUGAAAUUAAUUCCAUUUCAUAGCCAUUUAUAUCUUACAAUAUUAUAUUACAGCACAUAUUAAUUGAUAUACAUCUUUUUGCAGAAAGCUUGUAUAUAGCACCUGUGUGUGUGUGUAUGUGUAUGUAUAUAUAGGUGCGUGUUAGAUGCGUGUGUAUAUAUGUGUGUGUACAUGUAUUUCACACAUUAUGUAUUAAAAUUACGCAUAUCACUGGAUUUAGAUAUUCUAUACUUUUUCAGUAUAGAUUUGUUUAUUUCAUGAAACUUUUCUGUAUAUGAUUUGACAUCAACAUUAUGUUUCACUUCAUAAUCACAGCAAUUGAUCAGUUUCAUAUAAAAUAACAAAUGUAUUUAUUCAAAUAAACUAUAGAAUUUGCAGAUUUUUUAACACAGUUAUAAAAAAAUAAAAUUACUGGCAGUCGCAUUAGAAAUCUUAUAUUUGGGGUACACGCGACAAUUAUUUUCUCGCAUACAAACAGGAUAUAACGAUAGAUAUAAGUUGAUUCCGAAGUUUUUCCCUAUAGAAUAUACAUUUGACAUCAUAUUUUUAUUUGAAAAAUGCUUUAUUUAUAUCAACAUUGAAAUGUUGAUAUAAACAAUUAUUCAAUGUUUAUAGGAAGACCUGUGAGUCAAACUUAUAAAAAAGUUACAAUUUAAAGUUAUCAGUAAAAAUGCAUAUUUUUCUCCCGUUGUGAUUGUAUCAAAUUCAAGUUUCUUUACUUUUAAUAACUUUAAAUAUUUUGUCUAAUUUAUUUAUAUAAUUCCUGUUUUGUGAAGAAAUAAAUCAUAAGGUAUAACUGCACAAUUAAAAGAUUAAUUUACGUUGUAUAUAAAUUAAUUAUUUGUUCUUAUGGAUCUGACAUAAAAAAUGCCUUGCGAUGGAUUUUUCGAGUUUAAAGACAUAUGCGGACUCGUCAAAAAGCGUCGAUGAAAUUUUAUUGAAGAGUAAAUAUAGAUUAGAAAAUAUUUCUGUAAUGGGAAGGAGGGGGAAUUUAGUCUAAAUUCCUUAGCCUAGAUGAUGUACUAUCGCACGUCUACAUUUACAAAAGUGAUUAAACUUAUUUGCAAAAGAAAUUUAUUAAGAUUUCUUAUUUGCAAACAGCAAUAUUAAAUAAUAAUGAAUAUCACAAGAAUAUGGAUAAAGACUGCGUGAUAUAGUCAAUAUCCCUCUGCACAACCUAGCUUGUGAGUACAUUACGUUUAAUAGUUUUAUAAUUUGAAUUCAUAAUACAUUUUAUUUAAUAAAAUACAUUAAUAUGUUUUUGUUUGUUCGUGUGUUUUUCUGUAGCUAAAUACGUGAUGUUAUCACUUGUCUCACAGACAAGUAUUACAAUUUAGUAAUACAAUUUAAUUACAGUAAUUCUCAAUUUAUUUUUCUUUCUCAUCAGCCUUUUUAUCAUUGACAAUAUGCUAUGGGAAAAUGUUUUUACUAUUUGAACAUACAUACAUACAUAUAUAUAUAUAUAUGCGUGUGUGUGUGUGUGUGUACAUACAUACACACUUAAAAUUUUCUAAAGUCGCAUUUGUUUUUAUGCAUAUUGAAUUUUAAAACACAACCUCGAAAUAAUCGUACAUCUUCAAGCCUUUAAAGUUACUGGAUUUGCUACACCGAUUUCUAUUGAGGGCACUGAGUGCAAGAUUCAUUAAGCACCAUUCGUGUCUGCUUUUUUUAGUUAUAUAUGCCACAGACAUUUAUUAUUGUUAUUGUACUUCGAAUAUCAAACAUUUCAAACUACUGCAGUAAUAAAUUUUAUAAAAAUCUAAACAAGUUUCUAUUCGUGAUUAAUAAUUUGGAAAUUAAUCGACAUAUUGAUUUCAAACUCUACUUUAACUCAAAGAUAUAAACGAGAUCAUUACCUCUCGAGGACGUUCCGCAUUUUUUUAAUGAUCUCGUAAUUAGUGAGUUAUAUGUAUUUAUAUUAAUAUUAACGUAUUUUAGAUCUUUAAUAGGAAAUUAUUAUAAUGUAUGUCUGACUUAUAUUUUUCUAACAAAUAUUUUGUCUAGGACCACUUAAGAGACGAAAUUAUAUUCUAUGCGGAAACAAAAAAUUGCUAGAUUGCAGUGAUAGAUUUGUAUUCAUUAACAUAAAAUUUUCUGGUCUUAAAAUUGUCUGUCAUGAGAGAUAGAUUUGCUAAAAUGCAUUACUAUCUAUGCGCUCACAAAAUUUUUUACAAAUUUUCUUAUAUAUCUUAUUGUCAUGUUAUGACUUCUUUAUAUAAUUGAUUACAAUUUACAAUGAUCUUUUUGAUGUAACAUUAGACAUAACAUGGUCUUAAUUUUCUCCAUUAUUUCGCACAUCUUUUACUUCAUGAAAAAUAAUGCUUUAACAUUCUAAUUUUCUAAAACUGAAAAUAUACAUCAGCAACAAAUUAAAAGCAUAAAUAUGUUUUUAUUAUUUUAUAAUUUUCUAUAGAUAAUUAAAAAAUCUCUGAUUAAUUAAUUGAUUACACCCUGUACUCUGCGACAUUACAAAAAGCUCCACUUUAUAUGAAAAACAGCACAGAUAGUAACACACUUAACAUUUCAUAAUAAUUAAGAGAAAUAAUUUUGCUAACAGCACACAUACACACACACACACAUAUGUAUAUAUAUACAUAUGUAUGUAUGUGAAUGCGCGUGCGCGCACGCACGUGUGUGUAUAUAUAUAUAUAUAUAUGUGUGUGUAUGUAUGUGUGUGUAUAUAUAUAUGUGUGUGUGUGUGUGUGUGAGUGUGUGUAUGUAUAUAUAUAUAUAUAUAUAUAUAUAUAUAUAUAUAUAUAUAUAUACAUAUAUAACCCCAGACUUUAAAUGCGACCAGAAGGACAAUAAUGUACAAAGGCAUCCAUGUACAGAAAAAAAAGCACGAGAAUUAACUUCGAGACUUAAAUAAAUAGUAUGAUACGUGUGUAGCAAUGAUAAUGUAAGGUUCUCUUUAUUAUGCAUAUAUGGUUGCUGCUGUAUCGUUGUCCUAAAUCGACUGAUCAUGCCAGAUAGCUAUAAGUAUCUUUUUGACCUUCUGUGCGCUCCAAAUACUCUUUUUCAAUUAAAAUAUCUAUACAUUUCUGAAAAAUAGAAUCCAUCCUUUUAAGAAAGAAUUAAUAUUAUAUUAAAUAUAUAUUAUAUUAAAUAUAUAUUAUAUUAAAUAUAUAUUAUAUUAAUAAUAUAUAAAACAAUAUUUUUACACAUAUUUAUAGUUAAAGGCUCCUGAAAAUAAUAAUCUUUUGUAGAAAGAAAAUUUAAUUAAUAAAUACCUUAAUAACAUGCACUCUUGGCUUGAAUCUAGAACUUAAUUGAUUCAAAACUUCUGCUACCAAUUGUUGAUGUUUUAAUACUUUCCGCAUUUUCAUAAUUCUAACGAUCGCUGCCUGAAUUAAAAGUUUUCUGUCUUCUUCUAUGUGUUUGUGCGUAGUCUCUUGUUCAACUUUUAAUUCCGUUUUCAUCGGUAUAUUAAUAUUCACCCUUAAUUUCUUACUAUUAAACAAAUAACAUAAUUAGAUAAAUUGUUAAUAACAGUUAAUUACAUGCAUGUAAAAGAAACAUACUUCUUGUAUCCCGUAAAAAGUUCUACCGUUGAUAGCGGGGUCAAUUCAGCUACAUCAUCGCUAGCUGCAGUUAAAAGUUUGGCUUUCAAAAGUAUUUGAAUAACCUGCAAAACAUAACUUUAAAUCUUUUGUUACUUUGCUACUUUCACUAUUACAUUACCUGUAGUAAAAAAUCCAUUUUUAUCUGUGUUGCAUAAUGAAGUUGUUGUAUUGUCCAUGAUGUAGAUCCAUUAUAUUGUAGCAAAACUGCCAUUUGGAAAGUCGAGGCUUGCAAUGUGUACCUGUUCUUAAAACAGUUAGUAUGUAGUUCCCCUUUAGACAUAUUGUAUAACCAAUUUAACUUUCUGCCACUAUGUUGUGAGCUGUAGAAAGUAGUAAACCUAUGUACAGAUCGUUCUAGCUGUAAGAUAAGAAUAAAGGAUCAUGAAUGAGCAAUUGAUAAACAUCUGAAAUUCUGAGUGUUCAAUCGAUCAAUCAGUUUGUUUUGACAAAUGCUUUUUACCUCUGUCGGCAAAGAAAAUGUGAAGGAUUGUUGAAAUGGCCAUGAACCAGAAGAUAAAACUUGUAUACUGAAAUCCACAUCCAAUGGUUCAGCAGAUCUUACCAAAUGUCUUCUGAACUGUUCGUUUAGAUCUUUUGAUACACCAAUAUCCUGUGAAGAGACUGCUAUAAUCACAUUGACUUAUGCUUCGAAUAAUUUUUAAUAACAAAAGUUAGUAAUCAUUAAUAAAAUAUUAGAUAAAAUCAUGAAAUUCGCAUUUCUAGUUAAUAUCUAAUUAAUUUUAAUUUAGAAAUUAAAUUUCUAAUUAAUAUACUAUGGAAAGCUACCUGAAACAUGCGUUGUAACUUUGAAGUAUAUUCAAAUCCACAAGCUUGUUUUAACUUAGAGAUCAUGGAAGCCUCUGCGUCAUCACUGGCAGACAUAUGUUGUACCAAUCGUUUCGCCAACAUUUUGCUAUAGAACUUCUGAAAUACAUCUUUGUCUUCGAUGUAUUUAAAUACUACCAUCUACACAAAUGAGAUUAUAAAUACAAUUAACAAAUAUCUUUUGCAGAAAAACAUGAACAAAAACAAAUACUUUAUUACAAAUGUACUUACGACUUGAUUGAGAGUAUCUUCAAGUUCUGCUUCUUCUGGAUUUUUACUGCUUUUCUUCAAUAACAAGUCACAGUACUUUGCUAAUAAUUCAGGUGACUUACUACUACUGUUUGCUGCUCUUGUAACUGAAUUAGCAUUAAUAAAUCGACCACAAGCUUUAUCCAGAGCUGCUACAAAACCGCUAUCGUUGUUAAAGGCGACAAGCACUAAAGCAUUAUACUUUUUGUGCACUUCCAAAAUUGUGUUCACAUAAACUUUUGGAUCCUGAAUACAAAAACAGUUGUUAAUAUUCAAAUUAGAAGUUUCGUAUAGUUGUAAUUACAUUAAAUAAAAUAUGUACAUUAGCAGCAGAGUCGCCACAUUUAUCUAUAGCCGCAAGCCCUUGAUUAGCUAUAUGAGUUUCUAAAAGAUUUCUCAAUUCUCCAAGGCCAUUCGGUAUUCUCGCUACUAGUUGGUACAUUCUACCUAAAUCUGUAUUUUUAUCAGCAUUCAAAAGAUUCUGGAACUCAGAAUGAAAUAUAUCCAGAUGUUUUUCAAUAAGCACUCUUUCACAUGUUUUCGCUAAUCGUUCAUGAGUUGUCUGAUGUAGGUAAACACGAACUCGUUUUUGUUCUUCCAAUAACCUCUGUUCCGCCUACACAAAAAAAGAAAAAAAAUAUAUAUAUACAUAGUCUAAGAAACAUUUCUUACAUGUUUGUUCAAUGCUCAUACUUUUUUCAUAUAUUCUGUUACAGGAUUUUGUCUGAGAAAAUUUAAACUCUCAUUGGAAUAGAAACGUUCUGUAUCUUCAAGGAAUUGAUUUUCAAAGGAAUCUUUAUACACUGUUAGAUUUUGUCCUUUAGCACCUGGAUCUUCUUCAUUUAAACCCAAUUCCACAUAACAAUUGAUGACACCGCUAACUAGUCGGGCCCGGAGGACCUCCAUGAUGACUUCCAGCUCCUCCACUGCUUCUAUGUCCGGACAUUCUGUUUCUAUAUGUUUGUCGAGUGAGCGUCACUGUUACUACGUACUAUUAUAAUUUCUAUAGAAAUAAAAAAACAAAAUUAAUACUCAACAUUGUAAAUAAAGUUAUUUGAUUAGA
Odontomachus brunneus is the source of this 7762-nucleotide RNA transcript. It is a transcript of the gene named girdin, with no coding region annotated. The record is from RefSeq and is a predicted model, not a curated record. The transcript has 7 exons. Lineage: Eukaryota; Metazoa; Arthropoda; Insecta; Hymenoptera; Formicidae.